RNAcentral lists this ribosomal RNA (243 nucleotides) under Triticum aestivum (bread wheat). RNAcentral describes it as "partial small subunit ribosomal RNA". Lineage: Eukaryota; Viridiplantae; Streptophyta; Magnoliopsida; Poales; Poaceae. The record is from RNAcentral.
CGCUCUCCCCUCCCGCUCCCCCGUCUGUCCCUCUCGGCCUUUUGGGGCGCUGGUGAAUGGCGGGGGUUGGGGAGCAGGGGCGGCGGCGAGGACGGGCGUCGACGCGCGGGAGGGGGGAGGCGAGGGAGGGGUGGCCCACGGUGCAGAGGGAUGGCGGGUAGAUUGAUGGUGGAUGAGGCCGAUGGGGGGGAGAGCGAGGGAGGAAGGAUGGAAGGAAACGCUCGCUCGCUCGCUCGCUAUAGC